CCUACGGGAGGCAGCAGUGGGGAAUAUUGGACAAUGGGGGAAACCCUGAUCCAGCGACGCCGCGUGAGUGAAGAAGUAUUUCGGUACGUAAAGCUCUAUCAGCAGGAAAGAAAAUGACGGUACCUGACUAAGAAGCCCCGGCUAACUACGUGCCAGCAGCCGCGGUAAUACGUAGGGGGCAAGAGUUAUCCGGAUUUACUGGGUGGAAAGGGAGCGUAGACGGCAGCGCAAGUCUGGAGUGAAAUGCCGGGGCCCAACCCCGGAACUGCCCGGGAAACUGUGGAGCUGGAGUGCAGGAGAGGUAAGCGGAAGACCUGGUGUAGCGGUGAAAUGCGGAGAUAUCAGGAGGAAAACCGGCGGCGAAGGCGGCUUACUGGACUGUAACUGACGUUGAGGCUCGAAGGCGUGGGGAGCAAACAGGAUUAGAUACCCGAGUAGUC
RNAcentral lists this ribosomal RNA (440 nucleotides) under uncultured bacterium. Its description in RNAcentral is "partial 16S ribosomal RNA". It matches the Rfam family "Bacterial small subunit ribosomal RNA", at positions 338 to 795 of the family's 1533-position model. The record is from RNAcentral.